Lepus europaeus (European hare) is the source of this 330-nucleotide long non-coding RNA. RefSeq lists it as uncharacterized. Lineage: Eukaryota; Metazoa; Chordata; Mammalia; Lagomorpha; Leporidae. The record is from RefSeq and is a predicted model, not a curated record. The transcript has 3 exons.
GGACAAGGUUACAGAGGGGGACGAUAAAACUGAAAAUGAAAUGCGAUCUAAAGGUAACUUCACUUGAAUUAAGGAGGAAACAUCAUACCUGACUUGGUAUGAACAUUCUGAGAUCGAAUCUUCUACCGGGCUAAACUACUCAAGCUUCAAGCUCUCUGCUAUGGCCUGGGAAAGCAGUGGAAGAUGGCCCAAGUCCUUGGGCCCCUGUAUCCACAUGGAGACCCGGAAGAAGCUCCUGACUCCUGACUUCGGAUCAGCGCAGCUCCGGCCGUUGCAGCCAACUGGGGAGUGAACCAGCAGAUGGAAGACCUCUCUCUCUCCGCCUCUGCC